AGAGUUUGAUCAUGGCUCAGAGUGAACGCUGGCGGCGUGCUUAACACAUGCAAGUCGAACGAGAACGGGUCUAGCUUGCUAGACUGUCAGCUAAGUGGCGAACGGGUGAGUAAUAUAUAGCUAAUGUGCCCUUUACUGGGGGAUAACAGUUGGAAACGACUGCUAAUACCCCAUACUCCUUCUUUACAUAUGUAUAGUUGGGAAAGUUUUUUCGGUAAAGGAUCGGGCUAUAUGGUAUCAGCUUGUUGGUGAGGUAAGAGCUCACCAAGGCUAUGACGCCUAUCUGGUCUGAGAGGAUGAUCAGACACACUGGAACUGAGACACGGUCCAGACUCCUACGGGAGGCAGCAGUGGGGAAUAUUGCACAAUGGACGAAAGUCUGAUGCAGCAACGCCGCGUGGAGGAUGACACAUUUCGGUGCGUAAACUCCUUUUAUGUGAGAAGAUAAUGACGGUAUCACAUGAAUAAGCACCGGCUAACUCCGUGCCAGCAGCCGCGGUAAUACGGAGGGUGCAAGCGUUACUCGGAAUCACUGGGCGUAAAGCGCGCGCAGGCGGCUUUGUAAGUUGGAUGUGAAAUCCUAUGGCUCAACCAUAGAACUGCAUCCAAAACUACUUAGCUAGAGUCUGGGAGGGGAAGAUGGAAUUAGUUGUGUAGGGGUAAAAUCCGUAGAGAUAACUAGGAAUACCAAAAGCGAAGGCGAUCUUCUGGAACAGUACUGACGCUGAGGCGCGAAAGCGUGGGGAGCAAACAGGAUUAGAUACCCUAGUAGUCC
RNAcentral lists this ribosomal RNA (775 nucleotides) under uncultured bacterium. RNAcentral's name for it is "bacterial SSU rRNA". It matches the Rfam family "Bacterial small subunit ribosomal RNA", at positions 8 to 796 of the family's 1533-position model. The record is from RNAcentral.